This is an RNA transcript of Tripterygium wilfordii, 977 nucleotides long. RefSeq lists it as uncharacterized. The record is from RefSeq and is a predicted model, not a curated record. The transcript has 2 exons. Lineage: Eukaryota; Viridiplantae; Streptophyta; Magnoliopsida; Celastrales; Celastraceae.
GAAGUAGGGUUUGCUUUGAUGUGGUGAUUUUCAUGGUGGUCUUACUCUUAAUAGUCAAAAGCUUGGGGCUUAGGUAUUCUGGUUUUCUCGAUUACCUGUCAAUUAAUGCCUCCACUCAUUGUUUUGCCAGUUCAUUUGCGUAUGCUUUUCGGAAGACCCUGGACGAAGACAGUAGUGAAUUUCCCAUUAUAAAACUAACAAUUCCGGUAGCACCUGAUUGUAGAAAAUCUAUUAUAGUAGCAUACCGCUAGUCUGCUUGAUCCUCUUGAAUCUUUAUUAUUGGUAGAAUACAGAGGGGACUGUUACUUCUCUCAUACCAGAAAAUUUUUCUUGGGUUUUAGGUGAGAAUGCAUUGCUACUCUAAUAGAAGACCGCAAUAAGGAGGUAGCAUUUAAGAAGUUGUGCAUUUGAGAAAUUUUUGUAGAAGAUUGGAUUUAUACUCUUCAAUUAGAGUGUUCCAUGACUGUUGCAGCCUGCAAACAGAAAUUAUAUUGAUGCAGGAAAUGCGGCUAGCGCUUUCUCACCAGUGCAACGCAUCUUUCAUAAAUUCUUUUGUAAUGUUUUUUUUCCUUGAAUGGUUUAUAUGUUUCUUAUGUGUUAAUAUCUUUGGUAGUCAUUAGUUAAGCCCAUUCGACUUCUUUUGUGCAGGCUUGCAUAGAUAAGUAAUUAACAUUAAUAUGGUAUCAGUGAUUGUGAAUGGCCUCCAGUCAAUUUCUUAUUCUGCUAAGUUUUAGUUGUUUUUAUUUCCGUUGAAGUUAUUCUGCUGGAUGUCUUACCUGUAAAGUUGAUGGUGGACACACGUAUGCAGAUGCCUCAAACCUCAGAGUCUGUUGCAAUAAUGAAGUGUAAAGUUCCAAGUUUUCAACCAGUUUUGAUGUCCAAUGCCUGGAAGUGUUGCUUUGCACCUUUUCAAUCUGUUGCAGAUUCUAUAUCUUAUGUUGAGCUGUUAUAAUGUAAGCUGUGCCAUUCUUAUCUGA